AUCAUUGCUGUACUGUCAUGGCCAGCUGUUUCUCCUGACCUCUCCCCCCAUAGAACAUGUCUGGGGUUAAAUGGAAUGAUACCUACAUCAGGAUUAGAAUUAGCUCACAGUACAUAAAAUAAAAAACAAAACCAAGCACAUUGUAAACAGCAGUAAGGCACACUUACUGCAUGUCACAAGGGUACAUUCAGAAAUGAGCAAAAAUGAUAUUUCAAUGUACUUGUGGCAAGUGAGCAAGUUGUAGAGACACAAAUGUUGGGUCAUCUGUGCAAGUUUUAGGUUCAUAGGCCCUGUGGUUUCAGAGCAGAUUCAAAUAUCAUUGUUAACACCAUCCGACCAUGGAUAACUCACCAGAACACACAUUUACAAGAGCAAUGACCAACUAUGUAUGACAUGUAAUACAUUGUUUACUUCAACAGGCUAACUGACCAAAGUGGACAUUUGAACAAGACACUCUGAUCUUGUAAAGUAAACAGCUGCAUGAUGUUGCUUGUCAUGGUACACCACAUCUCAUUCCUCCACCUUUUGGUUCAUAUGGUAAAUACAACAAAAUGGCUUGCACUUUCUAUGGAACUCAUUAUUUUAUUGCGUUUAAUUCUUUACAGACUGGAGAUAAAAGUCAAAAGUAAUCAAAGAUAAGACGUAAAUUAGUAAUUCUAACCUUAACUACCAACAACACUGUAGCACAUCAUCUAGCUCUACCAAAUAGAAUAAUUAAUACAUUGUUGAGUCUACUGUUUGGAAUGAUUCUGCCAAUGGUCAUACAUCUUAUGCUGUGUAGGAUAAAUGGGCAGCUAGAGGCAUGACACCUGGGACUGAACCAUUCAGCAGCCUCUAGACAUAGCGCAUAGGCACCUGCAGGGGGCUGACACAGUGACACUAGACAACUCCAGGUCAAUAGCUGUCCGAGGGGCUGACACAGUGCACCAGACAACUCCAGGUCAACAGCUGUCAGAGGGGCUGACACAGUGCAUUAGACAACUCCAGGUCAACAGCCGUGGGAGGGGCUGACACAGUGCAUUAGACAACUCCAGGUUAACAGCUGUCAGAGGGGCUGACACAGUGCAUUAGACAACUCCAGGUCAACAGCCGUGGGAGGGGCUGACACAGUGCAUUAGACAACUCCAGGUCAACAGCCGUCGGAGGGGCUGACACAGUGCAUUAGACAACUCCAGGUCAACAGCCGUGGGAGGGGCUGACACAGUGCAUUAGACAACUCCAGGUUAACAGCUGUCAGAGGGGCUGACACAGUGCACCAGACAACUCCAGGUCAACAGCCAUCAGAAGGGCUGACAUGGGGUAUUCACAACUACAGACUCCCACACUUGGCAGGUGAAGAGCAGUUUACUUGAUACAAAGUUGGAUAAAAGUGAAGGUUCUGUAUAGAAAAUGGGUACUGAUCAAAUCAGUCACAUUUAUGCAGUACACAAUACUUUUAACUUAUAAUAUGCUUGCAUUAUAUAAAACAUGUAUACAGCACAUACAAAAAACUAAAAUUCAAUUGUGAGCUCCUCAAUGAUUAAAAACACACUUUCUCACAUUCCUGUGAUCACUUCUCUAAUUGUACAAACUAACCUGUAACUAUAGCCAAUUGCACUUACCAGACAAGAAAGGUUGAGGUUUCAUCUGAACAGAUGGUCCACCUGACAUUCUGUAACACUGACUGCAGUUCAUAGAAGUCAAAGCUGAUGUGGUUCAAUUUAUUUCUCACCAUGUGUAUAUGGAACAGUUCAGUUAAAAGUGCAACUUGGACACUUAAAAAGAGCAAUACAUGUACAGCAAAUUGCAUUCUGACCUGAUCCAGUACCAUGCCCAGGAUCCACUUACAUGCUCCAGUACCGGUCUUAAAUACUGACACUCAAACUUCUAGAUUUUUCUUUUCUGAUUUAAUCAUUGGAGAAAUAAUUUUAUCAGAAAAAACAAAUCUUUAUUUAUCUGCAAAGUAUAGGGGACCAACCAUUGGAUAUUCAGGGAGAGGGGGUCUGGGA
Molecule: long non-coding RNA, 1988 nt
Organism: Haliotis rufescens (red abalone)
Lineage: Eukaryota; Metazoa; Mollusca; Gastropoda; Lepetellida; Haliotidae
Exons: 2
Source: RefSeq, a predicted model, not a curated record